Schistocerca piceifrons (Central American locust) is the source of this 2102-nucleotide RNA transcript. It is a transcript of the gene named glucose-fructose oxidoreductase domain-containing protein 1, with no coding region annotated. The transcript has 2 exons. The record is from RefSeq and is a predicted model, not a curated record. NCBI's taxonomy places the organism in Eukaryota, Metazoa, Arthropoda, Insecta, Orthoptera, Acrididae.
UGUUUGUUUAUUGACUUGUACACGAGCUGUCAAAGUGUUAAUUGUUUAGUUCGGGAAGUUACGAUUGUGAGUGCAAGAAGAAUCCUGCCAUAAAUACAGUAAAACAUGAGUCCGUCAAUAUUUCGCGCAACGUGAGAGGAAGGCUGAUGAAGUGUACUUGCCUUGGAAGAUGUUGCCCGGUAUUGGAGUAUUUGGAACGGGUAACGUUGUGCGAGUUAUUGUUCCAUUUUUGAGAGAAAAGGGCUUCAAGAUAGAAGCAAUAUGGGGUCGAACACUCACUGCUGCUGAAGAAGUAUCUAAGGAACUUGAGAUACCGUUUUACACUAACAAAAUCGAUGAUGUGCUGCUGCGAAAGGACGUUGAUCUUAUAUUUAUUAUGUGUUCACCAAACCUUCAUGCACAGAUUGCUGUUAAAGCUCUGGGCAUUGGGAAACAUGUGCUAUGUGACAAACCAACCGGGCUAUGUCAAAGCGAAGCAUUGAAGAUGGUACGAGCAGCACAGUAUUAUCCGUCGCUUAUUUCCAUUGUUAACCACAGCUUAAGAUUUCUUCCCGCAUUUUCCCAGAUGAAGAGAGCUAUUGCUGAUGGGUACUUAGGCAGUGAGAAUGAAAUAACCGUCUGCGACGUACGUGUGCAGAUGGGAAGCCUUCUUCACGAUGGUUAUGAUUGGUUAUGUGAUGAUACAAUGGGUGGAGGUAUAUUAACUCUUGUGGGUAGCCACGUAAUUGACCUUGUGUCACAUCUGACUGGUCAGAGGGCUUCACGUGUCCAUGGCCUUGUUCGAACUUUCACGAAGAACACACAUUAUGUACGUGGCAUAAGGCAGAUUUCAAGUCCAGACUUCUGUGCCUUUCAGAUGGAGAUGAGUGGUGGCACACUUGUCACUGCAACACUUAACAAUCAUCUUCCAGGAACGUUUAGCCAGGAAGUUUUAGUUUGUGGGCGUGAAGGACAUUUAAUGGUGCGUGGUGGAGACUUGUAUGGGUACAAAUCUGGUGCAGCUAAGGAAGAAGUCAUAUAUUUGGACGUGGAAGAUUUGCAGCGUGGAGGAUCUAUUAAUGCUGCUGCAAUAAGUGUGAUUCCACGCCCAUACAUGAAAGGAUUAUUUAAGAUGAUUAGUGCUCUUAGAGAAGCAUUUCUGCCUGUUGAAGACAAGAGUGGAUGGGUGAAGGAACCCGUUGCACUGGCAGCAACAUUUGAAGAUGGUUUGUAUGUGCAAGCGGUCAUAGAUGCGCUACGGAAAUCUAGCGCAAACCGUGAAUGGGUAAAGGUGAAUGUUAUUACAGAGGAACCAGAUCCAAACCCACUAUUGAGUGCUGCUGUGCGGCGUAGUGCCAUAUCCAUGUGACAUACAGAUAACCUGCUGUAAAAUAACUUCAGUACUAAUGUCUGCUUAGCUAACAGGUUACAGUGCCAAACAUUUCUUGAGAAGUACAAAAAAGAACAUUUUGCUGAGUUAUUACUGAAUUUGAUUUCACUUUUUUUGCUCACCCUGUAUUGUAUUCUGUGCUUCUAAACAUAGUUGAAGUUGAAAGAAAUUUAUAUGAUUUUCUGCCUGUGAUGAGAAUGACUGGCAUUUGUGUAAGGAUGUUGUCUAUAAUGAUUAACAUUUGGACAGGGUUGUGAAAAAUACCUUUGUUAAUAAACAUAGCGAAAAUAAAUGCAAGAAAAUACUUUUCUUUGUGUAUUGAACACCUGAGCACUGACAAAUAUUUAAAAUUUGAUAGCAGAGAAGAGCAAUGUUUUCCCUUGGCCUCUGCACAUACUAUAAUAAUUUAAGAAGUUGGAUAUUUGAACAGUGCCUUGUAAAAAUGCAUUGUUUCCAUGAUUCUUUGAUUGCCCUUAUAUGUGCUUAGCUGUACCAGAAGUGUUAUACCUACAACAUACAAUAAAAAGUCACAAAAUGCAAGUUGAGCAAAAUUGUACAUAACUUGCGACUGUUUUGGUCAGUCAGAAUAUGCUGUGUUUAGGGAAAAAGCUCUAUGUGCUGACACAUAGUUCAAAAACUUGAAUAUAUUAGUGAUUAAUCUUGGUGUUGUCUCAUUGUCAAUUUGUAGUGUGUAUUAGUCACACUCAGUAAGGCGCGCUCUCUCUCUCAAAUA